GACGAACCGAGCGAACGUUAUUCGGAAUCACUGGGCUUAAAGGGCGCGUAGGCGGGCGAUCAAGUCAGGGGUGAAAGCCCCCAGCUCAACUGGGGAAGUGCCUCUGAUACUGGUCAUCUCGAGGGAGGUAGGGGCGUGCGGAACUUCCGGUGGAGCGGUGAAAUGCGUAGAUAUCGCUUGGAACGCCAACGGUGAAAACAGGUUGCUGGGGGUGUGCUGACGCUGAGACACGAAAGCCAGGGGAGCGAACGGG
This 253-nucleotide ribosomal RNA is filed under the name uncultured bacterium. RNAcentral's name for it is "partial 16S ribosomal RNA". It matches the Rfam family "Bacterial small subunit ribosomal RNA", at positions 524 to 776 of the family's 1533-position model. The record is from RNAcentral.